AUGAGAAGUUAAGAGUUCAUUCGGCUGUCCAGAUGUAUCCAAGUACCCCAUUAUUUGGCAAUAAAUACAUCUGGGCAACUGAUUGAACUUUUCGCUUUUCAU
Camelus ferus (Wild Bactrian camel) is the source of this 102-nucleotide microRNA precursor. It matches the Rfam family "mir-1298 microRNA precursor family". The record is from Rfam. Lineage: Eukaryota; Metazoa; Chordata; Mammalia; Artiodactyla; Camelidae.